Molecule: ribosomal RNA, 477 nt
Filed under: uncultured bacterium
Lineage: Bacteria
Description: bacterial SSU rRNA
Rfam family: Bacterial small subunit ribosomal RNA
Source: RNAcentral
UACAUGCAAGCGAGCGGAAUGAUGAAGAAGCUUGCUUCUUCUGAUUUUAGCGGCGGACGGGUCGAGUAACACGUGGGCAACCUACCUUGUAGAUUGGGAUAACUCCGGGAAACCGGGGCUAAUACCGAUAAUCCAUUUUGCUUCAUGGCGAGAUGUUGAAAGACGGUUUCGGCUGUCACUAUAAGAUGGGCCCGCGGCGCAUUAGCUAGUUGGUAGGGUAAUGGCCUACCAAGGCGACGAUGCGUAGCCGACCUGAGAGGGUGAUCGGCCACACUGGGACUGAGACACGGCCCAGACUCCUACGGGAGGCAGCAGUAGGGAAUCUUCCACAAUGGACGAAAGUCUGAUGGAGCAACGCCGCGUGAGUGAAGAAGGUUUUUCGGAUCGUAAAAACUCUGUUGUAAGGGAAGAACACGUACGAGAGUAACUGCUCGUACCUUGACGGUACCUUAUUAGAAAGCCACGGCUAACUACGUG